Molecule: ribosomal RNA, 490 nt
Filed under: uncultured bacterium
Lineage: Bacteria
Description: partial 16S ribosomal RNA
Rfam family: Bacterial small subunit ribosomal RNA
Source: RNAcentral
AUUGAACGCUGGCGGCAGGCCUAACACAUGCAAGUCGAACGGUAACAGGAAACAGCUUGCUGUUUCGCUGACGAGUGGCGGACGGGUGAGUCAUGUCUGGGAAACUGCCUGAUGGAGGGGGAUAACUACUGGAAACGGUAGCUAAUACCGCAUAACGUCGCAAGACCAAAGAGGGGUACCUUCGGGCCUCUUGCCAUCGGAUGUGCCCAGAUGGGAUUAGCUAGUAGGUGGGGUAACGGCUCACCUAGGCGACGAUCCCUAGCUGGUCUGAGAGGAUGACCAGCCACACUGGAACUGAGACACGGUCCAGACUCCUACGGGAGGCAGCAGUGGGGAAUAUUGCGCAAUGGGCGCAAGCCUGAUGCAGCCAUGCCGCGUGUAUGAAGAAGGCCUUCGGGUUGUAAAGUACUUUCAGCGGGGAGGAAGGGAGUAAAGUUAAUACCUUUACUCAUUGACGUUACCCGCAGAAGAAGCACCGGCUAACUCCGUG